AUAGCGUAUAUUAAAGUUGUUGCAGUUAAAAAGCUCGUAGUUGAACUUCAGACCUGGCCGGGCGGUCAGCUUAUCGGCUUGUACUGUCUGGCUGGGUCUUACUUCUUGGUGAGCUGGUGUGCCCUUUAUUGGGUGCGCCGGUGAACCAGGACCUUUACCUUGAGAAAAUUAGAGUGUUCAAAGCAGGCCUAUGCCCGAAUACAUUAGCAUGGAAUAAUAAAAUAGGACGUGCGGUUCUAUUUUGUUGGUUUCUAGAGUCGCCGUAAUGAUUAAUAGGGAUAGUUGGGGGCAUUGGUAUUGAGUCGCUAGAGGUGAAAUUCUUGGAUUGACUCAAGACCAACUAUUG
RNAcentral lists this ribosomal RNA (346 nucleotides) under uncultured eukaryote. Its description in RNAcentral is "SSU rRNA". It matches the Rfam family "Eukaryotic small subunit ribosomal RNA", at positions 594 to 945 of the family's 1831-position model. The record is from RNAcentral.